Molecule: ribosomal RNA, 465 nt
Filed under: Vreelandella stevensii
Lineage: Bacteria; Pseudomonadati; Pseudomonadota; Gammaproteobacteria; Oceanospirillales; Halomonadaceae
Description: partial 16S ribosomal RNA
Rfam family: Bacterial small subunit ribosomal RNA
Source: RNAcentral
CCUACGGGCGGCAGCAGUGGGGAAUAUUGGACAAUGGGGGGAACCCUGAUCCAGCCAUGCCGCGUGUGUGAAGAAGGCCCUCGGGUUGUAAAGCACUUUCAGUGAGGAAGAACGCCUGGUGGUUAAUACCCAUCAGGAAAGACAUCACUCACAGAAGAAGCACCGGCUAACUCCGUGCCAGCAGCCGCGGUAAUACGGAGGGUGCGAGCGUUAAUCGGAAUUACUGGGCGUAAAGCGCGCGUAGGUGGCUUGAUAAGCCGGUUGUGAAAGCCCCGGGCUCAACCUGGGAACGGCAUCCGGAACUGUCAAGCUAGAGUGCAGGAGAGGAAGGUAGAAUUCCCGGUGUAGCGGUGAAAUGCGUAGAGAUCGGGAGGAAUACCAGUGGUGAAGGCGGCCUUCUGGACUGACACUGACACUGAGGUGCGAAAGCGUGGGUAGCAAACAGGAUUAGAUACCCCGGUAGUC